RNAcentral lists this long non-coding RNA (245 nucleotides) under Monodelphis domestica (gray short-tailed opossum). RNAcentral's name for it is "lncRNA (ENSMODG00000050393.1)". Lineage: Eukaryota; Metazoa; Chordata; Mammalia; Didelphimorphia; Didelphidae. The record is from RNAcentral.
AUGAAAAAUCAAUCACUCAAUCAGUCAACAACUUCCAAAGCAGUAAUUUACAACAGCAAUAUGAUUUGGCCAGCCUUCAGGCACCAUCAUGAAGCCUCAAGUCGCCUAGAUUUUAUGUGCUGGCUGCAGACAGUUGCAGUAUGGGAGAGAGCCUGGUACCUUCUUGAGAACAACUGACAAAAACUGCUACCACCCCAGUCCCAGAGGUCAACCGCCCUGCUUUCCAGUACUAGUGGAAUAAAAAC